Molecule: long non-coding RNA, 470 nt
Filed under: Rattus norvegicus (Norway rat)
Lineage: Eukaryota; Metazoa; Chordata; Mammalia; Rodentia; Muridae
Description: long non-coding RNA NONRATT023658
Source: RNAcentral
AAUUCAGAUUCCAAAGUUCUGUAUUUUUUUCAAAAUAAAGAUCACACAUUGUUUAGAGACAAUCUACACAAGAGUUACAAAAAAUAGUUGCCCAGGCAUAAGCAUACACAGGUUUGUUAAUUAUACACAUAUGGUUACAAGUGUGCUUGCAAAAAGUUCAUUGGAAAUAUACACAAGGCUCUGGAAAUGUACACCGUGUAGUGUUACAGUCUAUAUUCAAACGAGGAUUGACAGUAUGUUACAUUCACUUACAAGUAGACAAAAUGCAAAAUACAGCUCAUCUGUACAAAACGGAGGGUGAGUCACUUUACAAGGGGAGGUCAUCUCCAAAGAGCGUCAUAAACUCCGUAUCACAGGCUGAUGCUUUAGCAACUCGGAAACGUUCCCAUUUCAUAUGUAUAUAUGUAUAUAUAUAUAUAUAUUUUAUAAACAGUGUUAAAUGCCAGUUUGAGAUUAUUUAACUAAAAUUC